RNAcentral lists this ribosomal RNA (509 nucleotides) under uncultured bacterium. Its description in RNAcentral is "bacterial SSU rRNA". It matches the Rfam family "Bacterial small subunit ribosomal RNA", at positions 339 to 866 of the family's 1533-position model. The record is from RNAcentral.
CUACGGGAGGCAGCAGUGGGGAAUAUUGGACAAUGGGGGCAACCCUGAUCCAGCCAUGCCGCGUGAGUGAUGAAGGCCUUCGGGUUGUAAAGCUCUUUUGGCGGGGACGAUGAUGACGGUACCCGCAGAAUAAGCCCCGGCUAACUUCGUGCCAGCAGCCGCGGUAAGACGAAGGGGGCAAGCGUUGUUCGGAAUUACUGGGCGUAAAGCGAGUGUAGGUGGUUGUCAUAGUCAGGUGUGAAAGCCUUGAGCUCAACUCAAGAAAUGCACUUGAUACUGGGCAGCUAGAGGACCGGAGAGGAUAGUGGAAUUCCCAGUGUAGUGGUGAAAUACGUAGAGAUUGGGAAGAACACCAGUGGCGAAGGCGGCUAUCUGGACGGUUUCUGACACUAAGACUCGAAAGCGUGGGGAGCAAACAGGAUUAGAUACCCUGGUAGUCCACGCCGUAAACGAUGGGUGCUAGACGUUGGCGAGCUUGCUCGUCAGUGUCGCAGCUAACGCGUUAAGCA